AACGAACGCUGGCGGCGUGCCUAACACAUGCAAGUCGAGGGAGAAAAGGGGCUUCGGCUCCCGAGUAAACCGGCGCACGGGUGAGUAACACGUAGGUAACGUACCCUGGAGUCUGGGAUAACCAGUCGAAAGACUGGCUAAUACCAGAUACGACUCUGGAAGCUCUGGCUUCUAGAGUGAAAGAUGGCCUCUGUUUACAAGCUAUCACUCCUGGAUCGGCCUGCGCACCAUUAGCUAGUUGGUGAGGUAAUGGCUCACCAAGGCUGAGAUGGUUAGCUGGUCUGAGAGGAUGGCCAGCCACACUGGGACUGAGACACGGCCCAGACUCCUACGGGAGGCAGCAGUGGGGAAUAUUGCGCAAUGGGCGAAAGCCUGACGCAGCGACGCCGCGUGGGUGAUG
RNAcentral lists this ribosomal RNA (400 nucleotides) under uncultured bacterium. Its description in RNAcentral is "bacterial SSU rRNA". It matches the Rfam family "Bacterial small subunit ribosomal RNA", at positions 29 to 410 of the family's 1533-position model. The record is from RNAcentral.